CCUUCUGGUAUUAAUAGGUUUCUGACAGUCAGACUUGUCCACAGGAACUCAACUGGCAAGGCUGCUUUUUUGUGCUAAAACUGGGGAGCUAGUGGGCACCAUGAAGAUCUUCUGCAGUCGGGCCAAUCCGACCACGGGGUCUGUGGAGUGGCUGGAGGAGGAUGAACACUAUGAUUUCCACCAGGAGAUUGCAAGGUCAUCCUAUGCAGAUAUGCUACAUGACAAAGACAGAAAUGUAAAAUACUACCAAGGUAUCCGGGCUGCUGUGAGCAGGGUGAAGGACAGAGGACAGAAGGCCUUGGUUCUCGACAUUGGCACUGGCACGGGACUCUUGUCAAUGAUGGCGGUCACAGCAGGCGCCGACUUCUGCUAUGCCAUCGAGGUUUUCAAGCCUAUGGCUGAUGCUGCUGUGAAGAUUGUGGAGAAAAAUGGCUUUAGUGAUAAGAUUAAGGUUAUCAACAAGCAUUCCACCGAGGUGACUGUAGGUCCAGGUGAGAUUUACACACCCUGUGUUGAAAGCUUUGCUUGCUCUUGUGUGAGAGA
RNAcentral lists this small RNA (543 nucleotides) under Pongo abelii (Sumatran orangutan). RNAcentral describes it as "retained intron". Lineage: Eukaryota; Metazoa; Chordata; Mammalia; Primates; Hominidae. The record is from RNAcentral.